CUACGGGCGGCACCAGUGGGGAAUAUUGCACAAUGGAGGAAACUCUGAUGCAGCAACGCCGCGUGGAGGAUGACACUUUUCGGAGCGUAAACUCCUUUUAUAUAGGAAGAAGAUGACGGUACUAUAUGAAUAAGCGCCGGCUAACUCCGUGCCAGCAGCCGCGGUAAUACGGAGGGCGCAAGCGUUACUCGGAAUCACUGGGCGUAAAGAGCGUGUAGGCGGAUUAAAAAGUCAGAAGUGAAAUCCUAUAGCUUAACUAUAGAACUGCUUCUGAAACUCUUAAUCUAGAAUGUGGGAGAGGUAGAUGGAAUUUCUGGUGUAGGGGUAAAAUCCGUAGAGAUCAGAAGGAAUACCGAUUGCGAAGGCGAUCUACUAGAACAUUAUUGACGCUGAGACGCGAAAGCGUGGGGGGCAAACAGGAUUAGAUACCCGAGUAGUC
Molecule: ribosomal RNA, 439 nt
Filed under: uncultured bacterium
Lineage: Bacteria
Description: partial 16S ribosomal RNA
Rfam family: Bacterial small subunit ribosomal RNA
Source: RNAcentral